This 74-nucleotide transfer RNA is filed under the name Candidatus Portnoybacteria bacterium CG_4_10_14_0_2_um_filter_43_36. Its description in RNAcentral is "tRNA-Met". It matches the Rfam family "tRNA". From Rfam's summary of the family: Transfer RNA (tRNA) molecules are approximately 80 nucleotides in length. RNAcentral also lists the same sequence under 4 other names. Lineage: Bacteria; Candidatus Portnoyibacteriota. The record is from RNAcentral.
GGCGGCGUAGCUCAGUUGGUUAGAGCGCGGGACUCAUAAGCCCGAUGUCACAGGUUCGAAUCCUGUCGCCGCUA